GGUCCGAGCGUUGUCCGGAAUUAUUGGGCGUAAAGGGCUCGUAGGCGGUUUGUCGCGUCGGGAGUGAAAACACCGGGCUUAACUCGGUGCUUGCUUUCGAUACGGGCAGACUAGAGGCAUUCAGGGGAGAACGGAAUUCCUGGUGUAGCGGUGAAAUGCGCAGAUAUCAGGAGGAACACCGGUGGCGAAGGCGGUUCUCUGGGAAUGUCCUGACGCUGAGGAGCGAAAGUGUGGGGAGC
RNAcentral lists this ribosomal RNA (239 nucleotides) under uncultured Nocardioides sp. RNAcentral's name for it is "partial 16S ribosomal RNA". It matches the Rfam family "Bacterial small subunit ribosomal RNA", at positions 531 to 769 of the family's 1533-position model. The record is from RNAcentral. Lineage: Bacteria; Bacillati; Actinomycetota; Actinomycetes; Propionibacteriales; Nocardioidaceae.